This 514-nucleotide ribosomal RNA is filed under the name uncultured bacterium. RNAcentral describes it as "partial 16S ribosomal RNA". It matches the Rfam family "Bacterial small subunit ribosomal RNA", at positions 28 to 523 of the family's 1533-position model. The record is from RNAcentral.
GAUGAACGCUGGCGGCGUGCCUAAUACAUGCAAGUCGAGCGAACAGAUGAGAAGCUUGCUUCUCUGAUGUUAGCGGCGGACGGGUGAGUAACACGUGGGUAACCUACCUAUAAGACUGGGAUAACUCCGGGAAACCGGGGCUAAUACCGGAUAAUAUUUUGAACCGCAUGGUUCAAUAGUGAAAGACGGUUUCGGCUGUCACUUAUAGAUGGACCCGCGCCGUAUUAGCUAGUUGGUAAGGUAACGGCUUUUCCAGGCGACGAUACGUAGCCGACCUGAGAGGGUGAUCGGCCACACUGGAACUGAGACACGGUCCAGACUCCUACGGGAGGCAGCAGUAGGGAAUCUUCCGCAAUGGGCGAAAGCCUGACGGAGCAACGCCGCGUGAGUGAUGAAGGUCUUCGGAUCGUAAAACUCUGUUGUUAGGGAAGAACAAAUUUGUUAGUAACUGAACAAGUCUUGACGGUACCUAACCAGAAAGCCACGGCUAACUACGUGCCAGCCGCCGCAGUAA